UACGUAGGGUGCGAGCGUUAAUCGGAAUUACUGGGCGUAAAGGGUGCGCAGGCGGUCAUAUAAGACAGAUGUGAAAUCCCCGGGCUCAACCUGGGAACUGCGUUUGUGACUGUAUGACUAGAGUACGGUAGAGAGGGGUGGAAUUCCUGGUGUAGCAGUGAAAUGCGUAGAUAUCAGGAGGAACAUCGAUGGCGAAGGCAGCCCCUUGGACCUGUACUGACGCUCAUGCACGAAAGCGUGGGGAGCAAACAGG
RNAcentral lists this ribosomal RNA (253 nucleotides) under uncultured Uliginosibacterium sp. RNAcentral's name for it is "partial 16S ribosomal RNA". It matches the Rfam family "Bacterial small subunit ribosomal RNA", at positions 524 to 776 of the family's 1533-position model. Lineage: Bacteria; Pseudomonadati; Pseudomonadota; Betaproteobacteria; Rhodocyclales; Zoogloeaceae. The record is from RNAcentral.